AUAGCCUCUGCUCAAUUCUCUAGGGCUUCGACGCACACAUCCUUCGUCUCUUGUCAUUUUAUCUCCCUUUCUCCGAACUAGCCUCAUCUCGCUUCCGCCCUUCGUAGCCACGGCAUCCUGAAAGUUAUGAGUGAUCUGCUACAACAUUCACCAGCUGUAAUUUAUACAGAUUCAUCAUUUUAUGCAUUUGACUUGACUUUUGAUGAAGCCAAUGCCAAUGCUCCUAUCAGUGAGAGUACAGCAGAUGAAAAAGUAAUGGUGCGAGACAAGAGAGAGAGAUCCUACCAGGAACUUACUGAAAAUGGUUGGCGGUGGCUGGAAAAAUGAGGGGGCUGUGCAAGUAAGUUUCUCUAUGUGUCAACUGGAUUUUCUUGUGUUUAAAACUGAAGGUCCCGUGGGAUUUUUAUAGAUGAGGGAGAGGGAGAUGCCGUGAGUCUUGAGGAUAAAUUGGAUAAAGUCUAGAGUUUAGAGUUUGAAUUCAACUAAAGCUUGGAGUACUCCCGCGAGGAAAGGAAAACUGAAAACAUAAGAGAUUUUGAACUGUUUGAAUAAAUAGUUUUCUGAUUAGGAAAAUCAAAUAAAAAGGGACUUAUAGUUAUCAAGAUGAAUCCUAUUCAAAAUUAAAUUACUACCUCAAAACAUAUCUAGUAAUAAUAAUAAUAUAAUAAAAAUACUGUGGGUCUGGGUGUUACAGGUUCUUCACAUUCGACGGAAACCAGCUUCAGAAUCUUCACCUAGGGUUUCUCUCUCAUCACGCUAUCUCGCUCUUUUUAUCUCAUAGCUUGCCUCUCUGUUUUUUUAUUUUUUAUUUUUUAUUUUAUUUUUUUAAUUUAUUUCCUGGUUUUUGUCUGAAAUCAGGCCUAUGAUUAUGUAGGCCAAUGGUGAAGUGAUUUAGAGCUGGUUUUUGUUUGGGUCGGUGAUAAUGAAAUUUUGGUAGAUUAUUAUGAACUGGAGCUGUGUUUUAGAGUUGGUUUGUGAAAAAAUCCAAGUCCAUAGUGUUGAUGCUCUGGUUUUGUGUUGAAUGCCAAUGGUGAUGUGAUUUAUAGCCAGUUUUUGUUUGGGUCUAUGAUUAUGAAUUUUUGGUAGAUUAUUAUGAAUUGGGGCUGUGUUUUAGAGUUAGUUUGUGAAACAAUCCAAUUCCUUAGUGUUGUUGCUCUGGUUUUGUGUUGAGAGAUAGAAGAGAGAGACAGACGUGAAUACCUGGUUGUGACUUGGGAGGGAGGAGUGCGCUCUGCUGACGUUGGAAAAUGAGCGUAUGCUCUAUUUGCAGAAAGGAAGAAGGGCGAACAAAUGGGACUUCCGUACGAUAAAGGAUUUAUUGCGGUGAGUUCCGUACGAGAAAGGGAGAAGUAGCUCUGUUUGCGAAGUACUUCUAAAAUUUUUUUUAAUCCAGGUCAGCUGGGAGUACGGUUUGCUCUACUUAAGGGGGCUUCCCUUCAGCAGAAUUGUAAUUUUUAUAUCUAAAACCUAGCUCGUUUCUAGAAUAACAUCAUUAUUUUUAUAUGGCUGGUUCUUAGUCUUGACCAUUAUUGAUGGGUUUGAUACGCAGGCCUUUGAUUGACUUUGCUUAUCCUGUGCUUGAUCAUUGUAUAUAGUUAUAUACAUUGAAUACGCCAGCCGAACAAUAUGGAUAGAUCUUCCCAAAUGGCUCUUGGUUGGCUGAAAUUGUGUAGAGGAAGGAUUCACGGAGUAUCUUGUAGAGGCAAUCAAAUCAGCUUCUGUAAAUUUGCUAUUCAGGCGCUUGAACCGGCGUUGAUCUCAUCCAGACAAAUAGAAGCAGGGUGGCAAGCAAUUACCUGAAAUUUGCAGCGGAGCGGACAAAUAUGGACUCGAGUGUACUGUCAUUCUACCUUGCAAAUAAAUUGUAAACAUAAACCUUAAAGAAAAAGAAAGAAAAAGUGUAGAAAGUUAAAAACGCACAUUGAUAAGAAUAAAGCAGAAUGAUUCUAUUUUCUUUU
Molecule: long non-coding RNA, 1958 nt
Organism: Carya illinoinensis
Lineage: Eukaryota; Viridiplantae; Streptophyta; Magnoliopsida; Fagales; Juglandaceae
Exons: 2
Source: RefSeq, a predicted model, not a curated record